ACKGCUCAGUAACACGUAGCUAACCUGCCCUCAAGCCUGUGAUACCCUCGGGAAACUGAGGUUAAUAACGGAUAGAUGAUUUUUUCUGGAAUGAUUAAUCGUUGAAAGUUUGCGUGAGGAUGGGGCUGCGGUGGAUUAGGUAGUUGGCGGGGUAAAAGCCCACCAAGCCAAUGAUCCAUAAGGGCCUUUAGCGAGGAAGCCCUGAGAGGGAGUCUGAGAUACUACUCCCAGCCCUACGGGGUGCAGCAGUCGGGAAACUUUUGCAAUACACGUAAGUGUGACAAAGCAAGCCAGAGUGCUCUUCUUUUUAGAAGAGCUUUUGUGAGAUGUAAAAAGUCUCACGAAUAAGGACUGGGCAAGACUGGUGCCAGCCGCCGCGGUAAUCCCAGCAGUCCGAGUCGCAGCCACAUUUGUUGGGUCUAAAAUAUCCGUAGCUUGCUUUUCAAGUCUCUUGUGAAAUCGGGACUCUUAAGGUUCCGGCGGGCAAGAGAUACUGUUAAGCUAGAGACCGGGAGGCGUAAGAAGUACGAUCAGGGUAGCGGUAAAAUGCGUUGAUCCUGAUUGGACUAACAGUCGCGAAGGCGUCUUACGAGAACGGUUCUGACAGUGAGGGAUGAAGGCUAGGGGCGCAAAGUGGAUUAGAUACCCAUGUAGUCCUAGCAGUAAACACUGCACACUAAACAUUGGCACCUCCUCGAGAGGUAUCAGUGCUGUAGGGAAGCCGGAGAGUGUGCUACCUGGGAAGUAUAGUCGCAAGACCGAAACUUAAAGGAAUUGGCGGGGGAGCAC
Molecule: ribosomal RNA, 789 nt
Filed under: uncultured archaeon
Lineage: Archaea
Description: bacterial SSU rRNA
Rfam family: Archaeal small subunit ribosomal RNA
Source: RNAcentral